AUGACAGUGCUGCCAUAAAGGAAAGGUGCUUCAAGCUGACCCCAAGCUUGCAAAAGGCUCCGAGUUCUACGAGAGUGUGCUGGACUUCGCCCUCAUCGCAGCAUUGUGCGGGUGGAACCAGAGACACUUGGGAAGUUGAAGAUUGUGCAUAACUACGGACAUGGAGGUUAUGGUGUAACAGCAGCACCAGGAACAGUGAAGCAUGCCAUUAAGCUCAUGCAAGAACUCCAUCUGUCUGCCCAUAAACAUAGCAAGUUAUAACCCCUCUCUUGAUAGUUUCUAUUCCUGUCAUUAUCCUGUUGUAUUCUUAGUUCAGUUUCACGCUUAAACCCAACACACAAAUAUAGCAACAAACCUUCUCAGACCAUGAUAAUGAAGUAUAAUAUAAAUAGGGAAUGAACUGAUAA
Long non-coding RNA from Cryptotermes secundus, 407 nucleotides. RefSeq lists it as uncharacterized. NCBI's taxonomy places the organism in Eukaryota, Metazoa, Arthropoda, Insecta, Blattodea, Kalotermitidae. The record is from RefSeq and is a predicted model, not a curated record. The transcript is spliced from 2 exons.